GGUGUACCUAAAGUCGGUAACCGCAAGGAGCCGCCUAGGGUAAAACUAGUAACUGGGGCUAAGUCGUAACAAGGUAGCCGUACCGGAAGGUGCGGCUGGAAUACCUCCUUUUUAGAGCU
Molecule: ribosomal RNA, 119 nt
Filed under: Chitinophagaceae bacterium
Lineage: Bacteria; Pseudomonadati; Bacteroidota; Chitinophagia; Chitinophagales; Chitinophagaceae
Description: partial 16S ribosomal RNA
Rfam family: Bacterial small subunit ribosomal RNA
Source: RNAcentral